This is a long non-coding RNA of Lemur catta (Ring-tailed lemur), 1880 nucleotides long. RefSeq lists it as uncharacterized. NCBI's taxonomy places the organism in Eukaryota, Metazoa, Chordata, Mammalia, Primates, Lemuridae. The transcript is spliced from 3 exons. The record is from RefSeq and is a predicted model, not a curated record.
CCUGGCCUCAAGCGAUCCUCCUUCCUCGGCCUCUCAAAGUGCUGGUAUCACGGGUGAGAGCCACCGCGCCCGGUCAGUGCAGGACUUUUCAUCUGUCUCUGUUGCAUUUUAUUUUGGCCUCUCUGUGGGGGGGAGUCCACCACUACUCCUCCAAUACCUGCUCCCCCUUCCUCUUUUGUGUGUGUGAACAGCAGCUUCUAGGUACCUCGAAUCGGGCCCUACUGAGGACGUGGAACAGGACAUCGUGUCAGUUCUUAUCACCAGGGCUUAUCUCGAAGGCUCAUCUUUGCUGUGUGUUCCCAGCAGCUCACUGGCAUUGCCAGGGUGCAGAGAAGCUGCCUGGACUGCGAAGGGCCCUCUUUGCAAAGCUCUCGUGUACCUGGUGCUGCUCAGGGCGGAGACCAGGAUCUUAUCUCCUGAUCCUCUCACGGCAUCUGCAGGUUGUGCUGAGACAGGAAGGGGCCAGACCUGCUACCCCCGGGAGGGGGAGGGGAGAGCAGGAGACAACAGCCCCCUCCUUCCUCAGGCCCCCGCCAGCACCCAUAGCAUGUUCUCCUGCCUCACGCAAGCCAAGGAAGGGGUCGGGGUGGGCUGGGAAAUGAACAUCUGAACCAGGUGGGAGGUAGACACCCCAAGAAGGGGACACGGUGUCUCACACCCCCUCUCACCCUCACGCCAAUGUCACUAUGUGAUAGUAGCAAUGCUUCUUGAACUCCAGUGAACAGCGGGAUCACAGAGCGGUGUUAAAGCGCAGAUUAUCCAGUGGGUUUGGGCUGGGCCAUAAAUUUGCAUUUCUAACAAGCUUGCAGGUGCUGCUGCUCGUCUGAGGACCAUACUUUGAGGAGCAGCGUCCUGUAGGAUGGAACGAGCAAUGCAUGAAGAGCUUUCCUUCUUUGCCUUCCACGCAAAGAGCAGGGGCUGAGUUCACCUUCCUCCUAUCGUUUAUUCACCACGUUUUUAUUGCAUGUUUACUCCAGGACAGGCACUAGAGUAGUGGGGCCCGUGUCCCCCCGCCUGGAACCUGGAUGGAUCUUUGUGACAGCCUCGGCCAAAGGAGUACGGCAGAACUGUCGCUGUGUGACUUCUGAGGCUAGAUUAUAAGAAUGCCGUGCACCUCCACCUGGCUCUCACAGACGGGAUCUGGCUCUGGGAACUCCCCUGACGUGUUGUGAGGGAGCCCAAAUCACUCCCCGUGGAGAGGCCAGUGAAGGUGUUCCAGCCGACAACCCACGUCGCCUGCCAGGCACGAGUGACAGUGCUUCCACAUGAUUCUAGCUCCCACUCAUCAGGUCACUCCCAACUCUGAGUCUUCCCAGCAAGGGUCCCAGAAAUCGUGGAGCAGAGAUAACCUCUGCUUGCUAUGCCCUAAGUUUUGAGCCACACAAUCCAUGAGCAUAAUAACAUGGUUGUUUCACACCACUAAGUUUUGGGGUGAUUUAUGACACAGCAGUAGUGACUGGUGCAGAAAGUGUUUGCUAACAAUCGGGUGUCUAUCUCAAGAGGGAAAGUCUUGUGGGUUCUUUGCACCCUUUUGUGGGGCAAAUAUGAUUGACAGGGAUGACGCCCGAUCAUGGCUCUUUUACUUCUUCACAGGCAGGUUGGAUGGACAAGCCCUUCCUUGUUCUUUAGUUACAAUAUGUUAAUAUAUUUUACUUGCCUAUUGGUUGUCCACUUCCCACUGUACACAUGCUCCUCAACUUACAAUGGGGCUGUGUCCCAACAAAUCCAUUGUAAAUUGAAAGUAUCAUAAGUCAAAAAGUGCAUUUAAUACCCCAAUAAACCCAUUGUAAAGUGGAAAAAUCAUAAAGUUGAACCAUCAUAAAUCAAGAACCGCCUGUACUUGGUACUUAGUAGUUGCUCAAUAAAUAAUUGUCACAUGA